This 84-nucleotide transfer RNA is filed under the name Canis lupus familiaris (dog). It matches the Rfam family "tRNA". Rfam says of the family: Transfer RNA (tRNA) molecules are approximately 80 nucleotides in length. Their secondary structure includes four short double-helical elements and three loops (D, anti-codon, and T loops). The record is from Rfam by way of RNAcentral. RNAcentral also lists the same sequence under 1 other name. Lineage: Eukaryota; Metazoa; Chordata; Mammalia; Carnivora; Canidae.
GCCUGAAUAGCUCAGUGGUUGAGCGCCUGCCUUUGGCUCAGGGCGUGAUCCUGGAUUCCCUGGGUUCGAGUCCCGCAUUGGGCU